This 552-nucleotide ribosomal RNA is filed under the name uncultured bacterium. RNAcentral's name for it is "bacterial SSU rRNA". It matches the Rfam family "Bacterial small subunit ribosomal RNA", at positions 355 to 896 of the family's 1533-position model. The record is from RNAcentral.
UGGGGAAUUUUGGGCAAUGGGGGAAACCCUGACCCAGCGACGCCGCGUGGAGGAUGAAGGCCUUCGGGUUGUAAACUCCUGUCAGGUGGGAAGAAGAGCCUCGUGGUUAAUAUCCACGAGGAAUUGACGGUACCACCAAAGGAAGCCCCGGCUAACUCCGUGCCAGCAGCCGCGGUAAUACGGAGGGGGCAAGCGUUAUUCGGAUUUACUGGGCGUAAAGCGCACGUAGGCGGCAAUAUAAGUCACAGGUGAAAGCCCUCGGCUCAACCGAGGAACUGCCUGCGAAACUGCAUUGCUUGAGUCCGGGAGGGGGGAGCGGAAUUCCAAGUGUAGCGGUGAAAUGCGUAGAUACUUGGAGGAACACCGGUGGCGAAGGCGGCUCCCUGGACCGGUACUGACGCUGAGGUGCGAAAGCGUGGGUAGCAAACAGGAUUAGAUACCCUGGUAGUCCACGCCGUAAACGAUGGGCACUAGGUGCAGCGGGUGUCGACCCCUGCUGUGCCGGAGUUAACGCAUUAAGUGCCCCGCCUGGGGAGUACGACCGCAAGGUUA